AUGCAGCAUUCUUCACAUCUUUAGAGCUAUGGCAUAACGAUAUGGCAAAAUGAUUCUUCUCUUUAAUGAUUCAACAUUAUCAAUGUCUGUGUAUUCAUCAUCUCUUUCUCUUUGGUAAUAUUUAGGAACACUAUCUACAGAAUCCUCCAACUGUCUUUCUGGUAGAACUCUGUCAGUCCAAUGCUGUCUGCGGAAAUACACAGAGAAGUUGAUUCAGUGUUUAAUGGUGUACAUCUCUGACAAUGCUGAUAAUCAGGCAUUUCCAGGAUGGUGACGUAAAGGAACUGGAACAGCACACACACCGAGGAUUAUCACGAAGGUGGCUUCAUGGAUGAUCCUUUAAAGUCUGGAACUUUCUUUUGGUCAAAUUGUCACUUUUUUCAGAACUAUUUAAGUUGCUGUUUCCAGAGUAGUAUAGAGACAGAGCGACACGCGUCAUAAUCUGAAAACCAUACCCACCGAGGGGGAAAACAAUCCAACAGUCUCCAUUGACUUUGUAUUGCGUGAGGCUACCUCCUUGU
Long non-coding RNA from Megalobrama amblycephala (Wuchang bream), 521 nucleotides. RefSeq lists it as uncharacterized. The record is from RefSeq and is a predicted model, not a curated record. The transcript is spliced from 4 exons. NCBI's taxonomy places the organism in Eukaryota, Metazoa, Chordata, Actinopteri, Cypriniformes, Xenocyprididae.